Non-coding RNA from Dehalococcoidia bacterium SM23_28_2, 72 nucleotides. NCBI's taxonomy places the organism in Bacteria, Bacillati, Chloroflexota, Dehalococcoidia. The record is from Rfam.
GGGGCUGUAGUUCAGAGGGAGAACGUUUGUCUGGCAGACAAAAGGUCGGGGGUUCGAGUCCCCCCAGCUCCA